RNAcentral lists this transfer RNA (73 nucleotides) under Bos taurus (domestic cattle). It matches the Rfam family "tRNA". From Rfam's summary of the family: Transfer RNA (tRNA) molecules are approximately 80 nucleotides in length. Their secondary structure includes four short double-helical elements and three loops (D, anti-codon, and T loops). Lineage: Eukaryota; Metazoa; Chordata; Mammalia; Artiodactyla; Bovidae. The record is from Rfam by way of RNAcentral. RNAcentral also lists the same sequence under 3 other names.
UCCCUGGUGGUCCAGUGGCUAAGACUCCACACUCCUGAUGCAAGGAGCCUAGGUUCAAUUCCUGGUCAGGGAG